GAUGAAGAACGUAGCGAAAUGCGAUAAGUAAUGUGAAUUGCAGAAUUCAGUGAAUCAUCGAAUCUUUGAACGCACAUUGCGCCCGCCAGUAUUCUGGCGGGCAUGCCUGUCCGAGCGUCAUUUCAACCCUCAAGCCCCCGGGCUUGGUGUUGGAGAUCGGCGAGCCCCCCGGGGCGCGCCGUCUCCCAGAUAUAGUGGCGGUCCCGCUGUAGCUUCCUCUGCGUAGUAGCACACCUCGCACUGGGAAACAGCGUGGCCACGCCGUAAAACCCCCCACUUCUGAAAGGUUGACCUCGGAUCAGGUAGGAAUACCCGCUGAACUUAAGCAUAUCAAUAAGCGGAGGA
RNAcentral lists this unclassified non-coding RNA (345 nucleotides) under soil metagenome. RNAcentral describes it as "partial contains 5.8S ribosomal RNA, internal transcribed spacer 2, and large subunit ribosomal RNA". The stretch from base 1 to 120 matches the Rfam family "5.8S ribosomal RNA", at positions 35 to 154 of the family's 154-position model. The record is from RNAcentral.